UAGUGGCGAACGGGUGAGUAACACGUGGGUGACCUGCCCUGAGAAGCAGGAUAACUCUGGGAAACCAGAGCUAAUACUGCGGAUGUUGAGAGCUAAGGGCUUUCAACUAAAGUUUCGGCGUCUCGGGAGGGGCCUGCGGGCUAUCAGCUAGUUGGAGAGGUAAAAGCUCACCAAGGCGAAGACGGCUAGGGGGCGUGAGAGCGCGACCCCCCACAAUGGAACUGAGAAACGGUCCAUACUCCUACGGGAGGCAGCAGUGAGGGAUAUUGCCCAAUGGGGGAAACCCUGAGGCAGCAACGCCGCGUGGAUGAAGAAGGCCUUCGGGUUGUAAAAUCCUUUUGUGCGGGAAGAUGGUGACGGUACCGCACGAAUAAGUCCCGGCUAACUACGUGCCAGCAGCCGCGGUAAAACGUAGGGGACAAGCGUUAUCCGGAUUUAUUGGGCGUAAAGCGCUCGUAGGCGGCUUUUUAAGCUGGACGUGAAAGCUCCUGGCUUAACUGGGAGAGGUCGUUCAGGACUGGAAGGCUAGAGGCUGAAAGAGGAACGUGGAAUUCCCGGUGUAGUGGUGGAAUGCGUAGAUAUCGGGAGGAACACCAGUGGCGAAAGCGGCGUUCUGGUUCAGCCC
RNAcentral lists this ribosomal RNA (625 nucleotides) under uncultured bacterium. RNAcentral describes it as "bacterial SSU rRNA". It matches the Rfam family "Bacterial small subunit ribosomal RNA", at positions 93 to 740 of the family's 1533-position model. The record is from RNAcentral.